CCUACGUGUGGCAGCAGUGGGGAAUAUUGGGCAAUGGGCGCAAGCCUGACCCAGCAACGCCGCGUGAAGGAAGAAGGCUUUCGGGUUGUAAACUUCUUUUCUCAGGGACGAAGAAAGUGACGGUACCUGAGGAAUAAGCCACGGCCAACUACGGGCCAGCAGCCGCGGUAAUACGUAGGUGGACAGCGUUAUCCGGAUUUAUUGGGUGUAAGGGGCGUGUAGGCGGGGGCGCAAGUCAGAUGUGAAAAGUGAGGGCUCAACCCUGAGCCUGCAUUGGAAACUGUGUUUCUUGAGUGGUGGAGAGGCAGUCGGAAUGCCGGGUGUAGCGGUGAAAUGCGGAGAUAUACGGAGGAACACAAGUGGCGAAGGCGGAUUGCUGGACAGUAACUGACGCUGAGGCGCGAAAGCGUGGGGAGCAAACAGGAUUAGAUACCCUGGUAGUC
RNAcentral lists this ribosomal RNA (443 nucleotides) under uncultured bacterium. RNAcentral describes it as "partial 16S ribosomal RNA". It matches the Rfam family "Bacterial small subunit ribosomal RNA", at positions 338 to 795 of the family's 1533-position model. The record is from RNAcentral.